UGGUCCUGACCUUGUGAUCAAUUUCUACUUAAUUUACACAUGCAAGUACCCGCAUUCCUGUGAAAACGCCCUUAAUACCCUCUUGGGAAAAGGAGCCGGUAUCAGGCACAUUAAAUUGCCCAAGACACCUAGUUAUACCACAUCCACAAGGAAAAUCAGCAGUGAUUAACUUUGAGCAUGAGCGCAAGCUCGACUCAGUUAAAGUAUAGAAAGCCGGCAAAUCUGGUGCCAGCCGCCGCGGUUACACCAAGAGGCUAAUAUUGAUUUCAAUCGGCGUAAAGCGUGAUUAAAGUUAACUCAAACUAAAGUUAAAUUAAAACUAAGCUGUAGUACGCUUGUAUUUAAGAAUACCAAAAACGAAAGUUACUUUAAAUUAAACAACUUGAAUUCACGACAGUUAGAACACAAACUGGGAUUAGAUACCCCACUAUGUCUAAUCGUAAACUUUAAAUUACACAACAAUCGCCUGGGAACUACGAGCAAAGCUUAAAACCCAAAGGACUUGACGGUACCCCACAUCCACCUAGAGGAGCCUGUCCUAUAAUCGAUAACCCCCGUUUAACCUCACCAUUUUUAGUUUACCAGCCUGUAUACCUCCGUCGUUCAGCUUACCACAUGAGCGAAAUUUAGUAAGCCAAAUGUUUUUACAUCAACACGUCAGGUCAAGGUGCAGCAAAUGAAUUGGGAAGAGAUGGGCUACACUUUCUAAAGUAGAACAUACGAAAGACUACACAUGAAACUUAGUCAGAAGGCGGAUUUAGUAGUAAAAAGAAACAAGAGAGUUCUUUUUAACUCGGCACUGGGGUGUGUACACACCGCCCGUCACCCUCUUCAAAACAAAAAUUAGUAUUUAACAGUUUAAAGUAAAUCAGAAGAGGUAAGUCGUAACAUGGUAAGUAUACCGGAAGGUGUGCUUGGAAA
Molecule: non-coding RNA, 921 nt
Filed under: Nyctimystes kubori (sandy big-eyed treefrog)
Lineage: Eukaryota; Metazoa; Chordata; Amphibia; Anura; Pelodryadidae
Description: partial 12S ribosomal RNA
Rfam family: Bacterial small subunit ribosomal RNA
Source: RNAcentral